CCUACGGGAGGCUGCAGUAGGGAAUUUUGCGCAAUGGGGGAAACCCUGACGCAGCAACGCCGCGUGAUCGAUGAAGUCAUUCGGGGUGUAAAGAUCUGUCAGUGGGGACGAAAACUAACGGUACCCACAGAGGAAGCACCGGCGAACUCCGUGCAAGCAGCCGCGGUAAUACGGGGGGUGCAAGCGUUGUCCGGAAUAAUUGGGCGUAAAGAGUGCGUAGGUGGCACGUUAAGUCUGGUGUUAAAGGCGGAAGCUUAACUUCCGUAGGGCACUGGAUACUGGCGAGCUUGAAUGCGGUAGAGGUAAAGGGAAUUCCUGGUGUAGCGGUGAAAUGCGUAGAUAUCAGGAGGAACAUCGGUGGCGUAGGCGCUUUACUGGGCCGUAAUUGACGCUGAGGAACGAAAGUCUGGGUAGCAAAUGGGAUUAGAUACCCUAGUAGUC
Molecule: ribosomal RNA, 441 nt
Filed under: uncultured bacterium
Lineage: Bacteria
Description: partial 16S ribosomal RNA
Rfam family: Bacterial small subunit ribosomal RNA
Source: RNAcentral